RNAcentral lists this ribosomal RNA (253 nucleotides) under uncultured bacterium. RNAcentral describes it as "partial 16S ribosomal RNA". It matches the Rfam family "Bacterial small subunit ribosomal RNA", at positions 524 to 776 of the family's 1533-position model. The record is from RNAcentral.
UACGUAGGGACCAAGCGUUGUUCGGAUUUACUGGGCGUAAAGGGCGCGUAGGCGGCUUGUCAAGUCACUUGUGAAAUCUCUGGGCUUAACCCAGAACGGCCAAGUGAAGCUGACAUGCUAGAGUGCAGAAGGGGCAAUCGGAAUUCUUGGUGUAGCGGUGAAAUGCGUAGAUAUCAAGAGGAACACCUGAGGUGAAGACGGGUUGCUGGGCUGACACUGACGCUGAGGCGCGAAAGCCAGGGGAGCAAACGGG